AGCGAUUGCCUAGACAAAUUGAAGAGCGGAAUGAAAAAUUAAAGAAAGAAAUGUUAGGCAAACUGAAGGAUCUUGGGAAUUUGGUUCUCCGCCCCUUUGGCCUGUCAACAGAAAAUUUCCAGAUAAAACAGGAUUCAUCAACUGGUUCCUACUCCAUCAAUUUUGUUCAAAAUCCAAACAACAAUAGAUAAUAGGAAUUCAGUCUAGUUCUGCUGGCUUUCAGGCUUCGUGACCGUGUGCUUGCACAUACCAAUAAAAGGAUUCAGCAAACAUUCUUCACGCUUCCCAAGUGAAGAUAAGACUCAAGCAUAUUCAUUUCCCUGCCUGUGAAAUUAUUUACAAUGUGGAUGUAAAGCAAGCCAUUUGACAGCUGUUAGUGAUAACUGUGUCCAGUGUUUGAUUUUUUUUUUUUAAAUAUUUUUUUUCUUCCCUUGUGGUGUUUAGCUUGUCCAACAGUCAGAUUCAUUAUUUUGGCCCAUUCAAUGCUGACAACAAAAUUCUAGCAAGCAGUUCAGUUGAAUCAAAAUGCCUACGCACCUGUAGCCAAGAACAAAGCCUAAUGGUGUCUUGGGGAAUUAAUGAAUCUAGCAGAAGCACUUCUCCACACUCAGCAGGUGGAUAUGACUGACAGCAUGCAUGGAAGCAAGCCAACCUCUUCUGUGGAAUAAUUUUUCUUUGUAAUAAAAGCUUAGUAUUUCUGUCGG
Molecule: long non-coding RNA, 704 nt
Organism: Pterocles gutturalis (yellow-throated sandgrouse)
Lineage: Eukaryota; Metazoa; Chordata; Aves; Pterocliformes; Pteroclidae
Exons: 2
Source: RefSeq, a predicted model, not a curated record